Non-coding RNA from Marmota flaviventris (yellow-bellied marmot), 6847 nucleotides. NCBI's taxonomy places the organism in Eukaryota, Metazoa, Chordata, Mammalia, Rodentia, Sciuridae. The record is from RefSeq and is a predicted model, not a curated record.
GGAGACGCCAGCCAAAGGAGGCGGGGUUGCAGGAGGAGAGUCCGCUCUGCGCAAUCCAGUCCGGGACUUGGCUCCGCCCGGGAGCGUCGGCCUCUCCUGUGACAGAGGAGUAGUGAGCUGCACGGGGUGAGGCUGCAGCCAACUCCGCUCCCCGCGCACUCAGCUGCCCAGGCGCUCGGGACGCAGUAGCUGCGCUUCUCCGUGGUGCCGAAUGCCCGCGAUGCCGGCCUAAGGAGCGUGCGGCAGCGGCCAGCAUCGCCACACCCCGGCCACCGCGCUCCGGCUGCAGAAAGGGGACAGAGCUUUGCACCCUUGCCCCAGCCCCCACCCCGCCCCCCGUCCUGAAAUGACUUGUUAAUCGGCGCAGACACCACCAAGGGGACUCACCGGAGUGGAAUCCAAGUGGAAUUUGGAUUUGGAGAAGAGUUUCUUGAACAUUUACCCUCGUCCUUGUUGGUUCUUCUUCUUCUUCUUUCUUUCUUUUAUUUCCUUUUAAUUUUUUAAAAAUAUUUGGCUUCUUUCUUGAUCUCCCCUUCCCCGCCUUUCAUUGGAGAUGAUCAGAGCUCGCUUGUAUCCCAGAAAGUAGUCUUCACGACUGUUGCCCCAAAAGAGACAAGCACACAUGUAGGAAUGACAAAGGCUUGCGAACGAAAGAGCGCAGCUCGAGGCCCGGAGAGAUCUUCUCGAUAAUGGAUUACUAAAUGGGAUACACUCUGUACCAGUUCCUUCCGAGCCCUGGCUGCCUGCUCGUCGAUGCACCGAAAAGGGUGAAGUAGAAAAAUAAAGUCUCCCCGCUGAACUACUAUGAGGUCAGAAGCCUUGCUGCUAUAUUUCACACUGCUACACUUUGCUGGGGCUGGUUUCCCAGAAGAUUCUGAGCCAAUCAGUAUUUCGCAUGGCAACUAUACAAAACAGUAUCCGGUGUUUGUGGGCCACAAGCCAGGACGGAACACCACACAGAGGCACAGACUGGACAUUCAGAUGAUUAUGAUCAUGAACAGAACCCUCUACCUUGCUGCUAGGGACCAUAUUUAUACUGUUGAUAUUGACACAUCCCACACAGAAGAAAUUUACUGUAGCAAAAAACUGACAUGGAAAUCUAGACAAGCUGAUGUAGACACAUGCAGAAUGAAGGGAAAACAUAAGGAUGAGUGUCACAACUUUAUUAAAGUUCUACUGAAGAAAAACGAUGAUACGUUGUUUGUCUGUGGAACCAAUGCCUUCAACCCUUCCUGCAGGAACUAUAAGAUUGAUACUUUGGAACCUUUUGGGGAUGAAUUUAGUGGAAUGGCCCGAUGCCCUUAUGAUGCCAAACAUGCCAACGUUGCGCUGUUUGCAGAUGGAAAACUAUACUCAGCCACAGUGACUGACUUCCUGGCCAUUGAUGCAGUCAUUUACCGGAGUCUUGGAGACAGCCCUACCCUGAGGACCGUCAAGCACGAUUCAAAAUGGUUGAAAGAACCAUACUUUGUCCAAGCAGUGGAUUAUGGAGACUACAUCUACUUCUUCUUCAGGGAAAUCGCUGUGGAGUACAACACCAUGGGAAAGGUUGUUUUCCCUAGAGUCGCUCAGGUUUGUAAGAAUGACAUGGGAGGGUCUCAGAGAGUCCUGGAGAAACAGUGGACAUCUUUCCUGAAGGCUCGACUGAACUGCUCAGUGCCUGGAGACUCUCAUUUUUAUUUCAACAUACUCCAGGCGGUUACAGACGUGAUCCAUAUUAAUGGCCGUGAUGUUGUCCUGGCAACCUUUUCCACACCUUAUAACAGCAUCCCUGGGUCUGCAGUUUGUGCCUAUGACAUGCUUGACAUUGCCAAUGUGUUUACUGGGAGAUUCAAGGAACAGAAGUCUCCCGAUUCCACCUGGACACCAGUUCCUGAUGAACGAGUCCCUAAGCCUAGGCCAGGUUGCUGUGCUGGCUCAUCCUCCUUAGAGAAAUAUGCCACCUCCAAUGAAUUUCCUGAUGACACCCUGAACUUCAUUAAGACUCACCCGCUCAUGGAUGAGGCAGUACCUUCCAUCAUCAACAGACCAUGGUUCCUGAGAACGAUGGUCAGAUACCGCCUGACCAAAAUUGCAGUAGAUACUGCUGCUGGGCCAUAUCAGAAUCACACUGUGGUUUUCCUGGGAUCAGAAAAAGGAAUCAUCUUGAAGUUCUUGGCUAGGAUAGGAAACAGUGGUUUCCUAAAUGACAGUCUUUUCCUGGAGGAGAUGAGCGUUUACAACCCAGAAAAAUGCAGUUAUGAUGGAGUAGAAGACAAAAGGAUUAUGGGCAUGCAGCUGGAUAGAGCCAGUAGCUCUCUGUACGUCGCAUUCUCCACCUGUGUGAUCAAGGUUCCUCUUGGCCGCUGUGAACGACACGGGAAGUGUAAAAAAACCUGUAUCGCCUCCAGAGACCCAUAUUGUGGGUGGGUAAAGGAAGCAGGUUCCUGUGUUCAUCUGUCACCCAAAAGCAGACUGACUUUUGAGCAGGACAUAGAGCGUGGCAAUACAGAUGGCCUGGGAGACUGUCACAAUUCCUUCGUGGCACUGAAUGGGCACGCCAGUUCCCUCUUGCCCAGCACCACCACAUCAGAUGCAGCGGCUCAAGAGGGGUAUGAGUCUAGGGGAGGAAUUCCGGACUGGAAGGACCUGUUCGAUUCACCUGACAGCACAGAUCCUUUCGGGGCAGUGUCUUCCCAUAAUCACCAAGACAAGAAGGGAGUGAUUCGGGAAAGUUACCUCAAAGGCCAUGAUCAGCUCGUUCCUGUCACCCUCUUGGCCAUUGCAGUCAUUCUGGCUUUUGUCAUGGGGGCCGUCUUCUCUGGCAUCAUCGUGUACUGUGUCUGUGAUCACCGGCGCAAGGAUGUGGCUGUGGUGCAGCGCAAGGAGAAGGAGCUCGCUCACUCACGCAGGGGAUCCAUGAGCAGUGUCACCAAGCUCAGUGGCCUCUUUGGGGACACCCAGUCCAAAGACCCCAAACCAGAGGCCAUCCUCACGCCGCUCAUGCACAACGGCAAGCUUGCCACUCCCAGCAACACCGCCAAGAUGCUCAUUAAGGCUGACCAGCAUCACUUGGACCUUACGGCCUUGCCCACCCCAGAGUCCACCCCAACACUGCAGCAGAAGCGGAAGCCCAGCCGUGGCAGCAGGGAGUGGGAGAGGAACCAGAACCUCAUCAAUGCCUGCACAAAGGACAUGCCCCCUAUGGGCUCCCCUGUGAUUCCCACGGACCUGCCCCUCCGGGCCUCCCCCAGCCACAUCCCCAGUGUGGUGGUCCUGCCCAUCACACAGCAGGGCUACCAGCAUGAGUACGUGGACCAGCCCAAACUGAGCGAGGUGGCCCACAUGGCACUGGAGGACCAGGCCGCCACCCUGGAGUACAAGACCAUCAAAGAUCAUCUCAGCAGCAAGAGUCCCAACCAUGGGGUGAGCCUCGUGGAGGACCCAGACAGCCUGCCCCCCAAGGUCCCACAGCGCGAGGCCUCCCUGGGCCCUCCGGGAGGCUCCCUGUCCCAGAACGGCCUGAGCAAGCGACUGGAAAUGCACCACUCCUCUUCCUACGGGGUUGACUAUAAAAGGAGCUACCCCACGAACUCGCUCACGAGAAGCCACCAGGCCACCACUCUCAAAAGAAACAAUACUAACUCCUCCAAUUCCUCUCACCUCUCCAGAAACCAGAGCUUUGGCAGGGGGGACAACCCGCCGCCUGCCCCACAGAGGGUGGACUCUAUCCAGGUGCACAGCUCCCAGGCAUCGGGCCAGGCCGUGACUGUUUCGAGGCAGCCCAGCCUCAACACCUACAAUUCACUAACGAGGUCGGGGCUGAAGCGUACUCCCUCGCUAAAGCCAGACGUACCUCCCAAACCCUCCUUUGCUCCCCUUUCCACAUCCAUGAAGCCCAAUGAUGCGUGUACAUAAUCCAGGGGGAGGGGGUCAGGAGUCGAACCAGCAGGCAAGGCGAGCGCCCGCUCAGCUCAGCAAGGUUCUCAACUGCCUGGAGUAUCCACCAGACCAAGAUGGCCCACGGCAGAACUGAGGACGCUAGCUGGGUCCUCCUCUGGGACACAGGGGUACUCUCAAUCGGGCCAUGUGGUUUGGUGAAGGUUCGCAACAGUGGGACUCACCUCCAUUCUCUUCCUUCACCCUCCCGCACACCCUACAGCAGGUUGGACCCACAAAAGACUUCAGUUUUCAUCACAAACAUGAGCCAAAAGCACAUACCCACCCACCCCCCCAUGCACACAUGCACAUGCACACACAACAACACACAGACACACACACACACAGUUGAACAGCAGCCACAACAUGGUGUCCAUGACUGCACGGGACGUUGCCAAACUGGGCUAGCGUUCCAAACUGCAAAAACACAAAUACAUUUUUUUUAAAAAUCAUGAAAAUUAAAAAAAUAUAUAUAUAAAGAAUUCAUUGAUAAUUCUAACUCAGACUUUAACAAUGGCAGAAGUUUACUAUGCGCAGAUACUGUGAAAUGCCCACCAGUGUUACAGCUUUUCUGUUAUAGCCGAUAAAUGCCAUGUUGGGCAACUAUGUCAUAGAUUUCUGCUCCUCUCUUUUAAUGAAAUAACGUGACCGUUAACGCAAGUAACUCUUUAUUUAUUGUUCUACUCUUUUUUUUUUCCUUAAGGAAAGGACUCUUCCAUAUAUCAUCCUAUGAACAGCUCUUCUGAAGCCCACUGAAAGUUAAAACUAUUUAACGUGAAAUCCAUUAACUGGAAUAAUUGAGUUUCUUUAUUUUUACAAUAAAUUCACUGAGUAAAUAAGUUGGAGCUGGAAUUCUGAGCUUUGUGUUUGGACUGUCUGGUCUGUAGCUAAAGGAAAGCAUUAAGAGGGGAAUAUUUAUUUAAGUCUACCAGUUAAUUUGAUGGUCAGGUUUCUGACCAUAACAUGCAAAAAAAAAAAAAAAAUCCAUUAGUUUCAUAGUCCUUCCAAAUCCUAACUUCUGAAGCAACCAGGAGAGAAACUUCUAGAAUGGCACAUCAUGUCCCAUUGCUGCCGAAGUGGCUCUUGUCAGUGGUCCCCACUUUCUGCGAAGGCACCAGCUUGAGAUCCGCCAUCUCAUUUCACCUUGCAUGUGAGACAGCAAAGCGAAAUCCACAAUCGGUGUGAACUAAUUAAUAUGCUGGCUGCUACCUUGCAUAAAUUAAUGGUUUGAUCACACGGGUUUUUCGUGGGGUUACAUCUGUGAAUAGCCUGUUUUCCACAUGUAAAUUUGUGCCUUACACCCUGAGUUGUGUACACCUGUAAACUGUCAUAUGAUCAAUUUUUUCUUCCUUUUGAAAUAAAUGCAGAUAUUUAUUUAACCCUCCCCACGACCCCCACUCCAGCCCUCUGGGGGAUUGGAGUCAAGCAGAUGGAAGAAGAACACAGCGGCGAAGGUCGUAAAGACGCCGCAGCCUGGGAGCGCUGGGUGGCAUACACCCUCUGAUUCACACUGCCUUCUAGUCGUGCCAACUCGAACCACCCUUUGGCUGUGCUGCCAAGCAUGGACCCCAGUGUCAUGGGUGGCAAAUCCCAGAGCCCCUGCUUCCCUUAUAUUCUCAGAUCAUUUCAAUAUGGUGACAUCCUCAUUAGGCAGCAGAAAAGGGACUAAUGUCCCAGUCCUCAUUCUGCUGUGUCCACUGGCUGGAGAAUACACUGUGUGCCAUUGGGCAGGCACCUGGGAGGAGUCUCCAAGCUGUGCUGCACGUACACAGCACACAAAGCAACGACGUGGAAAUAGAUGCAGGCAGGCUGGUCCCUGCUGUGAUUAAAGAGUAACUUGAAGUAUGAGGCCAACCACAAUGGAUGCUGCAAACACAUUGACUGGGGCAAAGUAUUUUCAGUUAUUUUAAAAUUUCUUUAUCAUUUUGUUAUUGUUUCUAGAAGGUUGGGAGGGGAUGGCCUGUGUGUCUCUCCCCAUGGUUUUCAUUUCGUUCAAGCACACAGAAGAGACUUCUGUUUACUCUAUCAUGAACAAAAGAAUUGUCAACAUACUGUAAACCGUAAGCAUUGUUGUCAGUUAUUAGUGUUUUUUUAAACAGUAUAUUUGGUGGUCUUCUUGUCCCUUUUAAUUUCUAGUUUGAUCUUCUGGGUUUAGUUUUGUCUUUGAAAAUUUUUAAGAAACUUGCAGAGAAAGACUGAGUUGGUUAGGGGAACGCAGUGGCUCCACAGUCAGAUCUGAGUGUCGCUGCGGGUUCGAGCACAGCCCUUGACUCCCAGAGUUCCUCCAGGUUUGGUUGUUGUUUGGGGUCGGUUGUAGCUAUUGUUUUGUUUUGUUUUUUAGUGGAGUCCUUGUUCACAUUCUGUGAACUCUGUACCCUGAACCCAUGAUUUCUGGAAGACUUGCCUGGAAAUCAAGAUACUGUUUUCUCCCUUUUCUUCAAAAAAUGCAGAAGUUAGGGAGGUGAUGGGUGUGUGUCACCCUGCUACCUUCACCCUCGUGUUUGACUCCCAAGAGUAUUGACAGUGUCGUGCCCACCACUCGUCGACUUGAGCACCACCGAAUGCCGGUGUCUGCGGGCAUCAUUGUCUCCGCUGUGCUAAGGAGACCUGUGUCAAAACUUACACGUCCCAUAUCCCUGCAUCCCACCACCUGUCACUUGCGGUGUUACCCCUACUAUGCCCACAUGUAUUGAGCUGGUCUUCUGCAUUGAAGUGUUGCCCCCUUUCUUUUCCCCAUUGCGUGUGGGGGGAGGGUCCAUAAACCUGAGUGUGCCUUUGCUUCCCACCCUUGCUAGACACUGUAGAUGCAAAAACUCAGAUUUAUAUUUGUUGUAAAGUUGUAAAAAUAUUGUGAUGUCACCAAUUUUCCUUCCAUCUCCACAUCCCCUAACAUCUGAUUCACGACUUAAUGUAUGUUGUAAAAAGAAAA